This 708-nucleotide ribosomal RNA is filed under the name uncultured bacterium. RNAcentral's name for it is "bacterial SSU rRNA". It matches the Rfam family "Bacterial small subunit ribosomal RNA", at positions 54 to 757 of the family's 1533-position model. The record is from RNAcentral.
CAUGCAAGUCGAGCGGCAGCGCGGUCUUCGGACUGGCGGCGAGCGGCGAACGGGUGAGUAAUACAUCGGAACAUGCCCAGUCGUGGGGGAUAACACUUCGAAAGAAGUGCUAAUACCGCAUACGUCCUGAGGGAGAAAGCGGGGGAUCGCAAGACCUCGCGCGAUUGGAGUGGCCGAUGUCAGAUUAGCUAGUUGGUGGGGUAAAGGCCUACCAAGGCAACGAUCUGUAGCUGGUCUGAGAGGAUGAUCAGCCACACUGGGACUGAGACACGGCCCAGACUCCUACGGGAGGCAGCAGUGGGGAAUUUUGGACAAUGGGGGCAACCCUGAUCCAGCCAUUCCGCGUGAGUGAAGAAGGCCUUCGGGUUGUAAAGCUCUUUCGGCAGGAACGAAACGGCGAGCUCUAACAUAGCUCGCUAAUGACGGUACCUGAAGAAGAAGCACCGGCUAACUACGUGCCAGCAGCCGCGGUAAUACGUAGGGUGCGAGCGUUAAUCGGAAUUACUGGGCGUAAAGCGUGCGCAGGCGGUUGUGUAAGACAGGUGUGAAAUCCCCGGGCUUAACCUGGGAACUGCGCUUGUGACUGCACGGCUAGAGUAUGGCAGAGGGGGGUGGAAUUCCACGUGUAGCAGUGAAAUGCGUAGAGAUGUGGAGGAACACCGAUGGCGAAGGCAGCCCCCUGGGCCAAUACUGACGCUCAUGCACGAA